RNAcentral lists this unclassified non-coding RNA (255 nucleotides) under Hevea brasiliensis (rubber tree). The record is from RNAcentral. Lineage: Eukaryota; Viridiplantae; Streptophyta; Magnoliopsida; Malpighiales; Euphorbiaceae.
UUGGUAUUCUUCCACCAUCCCUAUCUACUUCAGAUUAGCCAAUUCACCCAAAAAAUUGCUACUGAGUGGAGGCUUGAAUAUCAAAUUGCAAUAUUCUUUAAACGCAUUCCAUGAUAGCUAGUGUCCUUCUUGUUUUAAUCUACAGAACCAGAGUUGUGCCUCUCCUGUCAUAUGGAAGGCUUCAAGGUUCAACUUAUCUGUUUCUGUUUCUGUUUCUAGCAUCUGUUAAUUUGAAAAAAAUUGUUCACAUCAGUG